Molecule: non-coding RNA, 4210 nt
Organism: Anas platyrhynchos (mallard)
Lineage: Eukaryota; Metazoa; Chordata; Aves; Anseriformes; Anatidae
Source: RefSeq, a predicted model, not a curated record
AACGAGCCUCCCAGAGCUCAGCAGCUCCACGUGCCCCAGGAGCCAGCACCCACAACCAGUGCCUGGCCCUCAGCUCGUGGUGGGGGUCCCACCCAGGCGAGCAGUUCGGGGGUGAGGGGUGGCACAGGAACACAUCUCCCUCCUUCCCCCCCAGCAGCUCCAUACACAGGAAACAAAAUACGUAACCAAUUGCUUGUUUUGUUCAUUAAGCACAGCUGGAUUGAUUUCAGUGCAGCAGCCCCUAUAUGCUGGCCCUCAGGCUGCUCCCACAAGCCCUGCCUCAUGCACGCAGUGCCUGGGGGUGCCAGGGGUGCAGCAGGAGCAGGGCUGGCCCCUGGGUCCCUGCAGGGAGGCUCCUUGGGGGCAGCUUUCCAGCUUGCAGUUUCUCUGCUCCCAUCAAAAUGAGGAUUUGGCAGGUGCCUGACACCGCAGUUGCUUUACUGCUCCUGCUCUGGGGGAGAACAUCACCAAACAAGCCCAGCCGCAAGCGCUUUGAUACCUGGAUCAACGCGCAACUUCGUCAGAUGCUCCUCCCGUAUUCCUGCACGACACCCACGUCCUAUUGCUGGUGCUGGUGCGUGUUCCCCGGCGAUAUCGUUAUUUUUGACACACCCUGCUGGCUGGGAAAUGCAGUGAGAAAAUACCUGACUCUGCUCUUCCCAGCAGGAUUGUCUCUCUGAUGUGUGAUUGGGAAUGCUCAAGGAAUGACCAGCAGCUGCUGAAGUGGAUCUGUGCCGUCUCCACGUGGGGACAGCCCUCAGGUGCUGCUCUCCAGGCUGGCAGCACCGUGUUUAACCCAGGCAGCUGACACCAGGACCCGGACCCCCCCGUCUGCCCCUCGCAGGGCGCUCAGCAUCUCCCCAGCCCUCACCCCCUGGGGACGGUCGCAUCCUGCACCCACAGCUCUGGGGGUGCCGGAGCCCAGGCAGUGAUCCUGGAGGGGCAGCAGGGCUGGGCGCAGCGGGACGGGGCUGGUGCUGGCUGUGCAGGUGGCAGCCAGCAGCUGACUCCGUGGGAGCAGCAACCGGAGCAGGAGGAGCGGCAGUAGGUUCAACACAGACUCAUAACUUGUGCUUUCCGCCGGCAAAUGCUCUGGACUGCAGCUGGGAACGGUGCCAGGGGGGCUCAGGAAGGAGGCUUUCAGAGCUGAAUGUCUUUUUCAGAGCAGACUCUAACUCUGGGCUCAUAAUCCCGAAUUCAAGCAGACUGUUGCCUUUGCUAUUCUUUCAGGCUCUUUGUUUUGAUCAAAGAGGCAAUGCUGUAUAAUUUAAGAAAGACUUUGCUUGCGAGGCCGGUUUGAUGCAUGUGGAGCGGCAAUGUGGAAAAAUCCAGCCCUUGCCCAUGGAAGCCAGCUUGGAUAAUUCGAGGCACUUGAGGAGAUGUCAUUUGCCGUGACUCAAUUCGAUUUGUGCGGCUGGGUGACACCGUACCCACACGGCCAUGAAUUGCAGCCCCCCUGCUCUGCACCCUGCUGCCGGAGCCAGGGCAGCUCCCAUGGCACGGCCCCAAUGCCUGGGGAGGGCUGGGGGCACGGAAAUCUCUGCCUCUGGGGCAGGAGCAAGCAGCAAGAGGCUGGUGGCACCCAGCAGAGCUGCUCUGGUGGCACCAGGCAGGUCCCCGCCAGGAGCCGUGGUGGCCUCUGCCCGCGAUGCUGGGGAGCAGCUGCAGUGUGACGGGGGGGCUGCAGCCUGCCUCGUGCUGCAGACGCUCUAGAAAAGCCCCAGCUAGAGGGAUGGGGACGCUUCUGAAUGUAGAUGCUGCAGAAAACGUUUUGCACUGGAAAAAACUGAAAGGAUGCGCCUCUGGGGGAAGCGGGUAAUCCUCCCAUGUGUCACUGUCAGGAGAACAUCAGGCUGUAGCUGUAAGGGCUCCUGUUUUGUUGCACCCUUCCCUCCCUACCUUUCCUAAUGAAUUCCAAGAAGGCUUCAAUGCAUUCUGAAAUGGGAAGCGCCGCGCUAUGUCCUUCACAGCCGCCGACACAAUAAAGACAGCCAUUUCACCGCUGGCAGGCACGGGCUCCUCUGUGGGCUGGAAACAAAAGCUGAAAAGAAGCCUUUAUAUUUUUUUUUGAUUAGAUAGCUUGAAAAGUUUGCUUUUAAUUGAAACUGCCUCACUGAUUUCAUCUAAAAGUCAGCUGCAAACCCCCUUCUGGGAGAGCGGCUCCAGCUCCUCGCCGCCGAGAUGUCUGCACGGAUCCUGCGCCGCCUCCUGCGGGAGGUGCAGCUCCGAGGGCCCGGGAGCAGCGCUAAUCCUCCUCCUUCAGCAUGUGGCACUCGCUUUGGAGACCCAAAGCAGAUUUCUCUCUCCACGCAGUGAGCAGUGCUACUGCCCAUCGUGCUGGUGGAUGGCACGGAGCCAGGGCUCUGCCUGCAGCAUCCCGCCGAGCCCCUGUCCCCCCGCAUCCAUCAAUGUACAACUGUGCCGGAGAGCAUCGCCGUCAGUCCUGGGCUGCAGACACCUGCACAGGGCACCAACGGGCCCGUGGGACCUGCAGCACCCAUGGGCACCUCGUGCCCACCGAAGGUGCUGCUCCUUGCGUCUCCUCUGCCCGCUCCGGGCAUGCGUGCGAAGAAACUACUUUGAGUUCUUUUUCAAAGAACGAAGGAGGAAGAAAAAUUAUCAGGGGAAAUUUAUGUUGGGACAAUCCUGAAUACAAAGACAAAUUGAAAUAUUUCCCUGUAACAGCGCGGGCUGGGGACCGAGUCUCGGAUAAAAAUAAAGUGGGAUGCAACAACAGCACCUUUCCGAUGGCAUUAGCCCCAUUCAUCUCCCGCGCGGUGCCGCAGCCGUUUCGCUGGCAGCGUACAAAGGCAUUAGGAGUUGCAUUUUCCUUCGCUAUUUCUCAACUAUAUUUAUGCUGUGAGAUGUUUGUGGAGGUACAUUGUGUGCCUCGGGCAGAGGAUUAAUUCCAAACUGUCACCUCGCUUUUUGAUGGGUUUGUAAAUUCUGCUCUGUUGAUUUGUGCGCUCAGUAAAUUGAUAAAAUCCUCUUCCUACAACGAAACACGCCAUGUAGAGCUCGCCGGGGCUUUAGACCCUACUGGUUAACGAGUUUAUGUAAAUAUAGUGUCCAACAGCAAAUUUAGGAGUGCUGCAUGAAUAAAAGGGGGAAAAACUGGGGCUGUGUCCAAGCGGAGAUCAGAGCUCCCUGUUGCACUCAGGAUGAUGCUGACGUGCUGGGAGCUCUGGGAGGCCUUUAGGGAUGGCACAGGAGAGGUCUUUCCAGUUAGGGACUCGGCAUCUUGGCAAAUGGAAGUUUAUGGCUGUCAGGAAUAGUCCAGUUUUUACUGAAAUUGACUUUAAAUCACCAUCAGAAAACGCAAGCCCAACGCCUGUGCAGUGUCACGGAGCCCCAGUGUCGGGGGGACGAGCCGCAGGGCUGCAGGAGCGCGGUGCAGGGAUAUCAGAAAUGAUUUUCUCCUGUAUUGUCCCCCAGCCACCGAUCUGCUAGAGAUGAAGGAUCUCAUCCACCAAAUGUUGACACGCUCCAUUAAUCCACCCUAAAAAGUCAGAUGGAGAUUCUCCCUUGAAUUUUAAAUAUUUCCAGCCAUUCCGACUAGCUCUGAAAUCACCCCGAAUUGCCCCAUUUCCUGAAUGUUCUUUCGCAGCCCCCACGUUAUUCCCAUUCCAUUAUGCCUGGAUGCUCAGACUCACUUAUUGCCUUUAUCAGCUCGCUGCAUUGCUCGCAGAACGACACCAGCCCCAACAGCGACUGCUGCGAGACCUUUGGGGAGCCUCCCCCCUGCCAUCCCCUCUCCAUCCUCACCCUUGGGGGUCCUGCAGCAGACUCACCCCGGUGCCCCGAUGUGCCCAACCCCUUUGUUCCCCCUGAUCACGGCGGCACCGAGCGCUUCCCAGUGCCCUGACCAUCCCCUCCUGGCCCAGGAGGUGCCCACGUGUGAUGCGGGCAGACGUGGCAGCCCUUUCACUGCGCGGGUUGCACGGCUCCAGGAUCAGCCCCGCACAUUUUCCUUCUGUCACAGUUUGAGUUUUUGGAUGCGUUCGCGUUUGGCACCGAAUCUCCUUUCUAGACGAAAGCUUUGCAUUUCCAAUCACACCUCCAAGGCUGCCCGUCCUGGCCAGGCUGCCUGCACGCUCCCUCCUGCUGCCAGGAGCCAGCUUUCGGCUGCAUAAGGCUCCGCUGAACCUUCCUCGCGCAGCCAUCUGUCCGGCUCUCAUCCUGCCCUUUUCCUUUCCAUGCUCCUUGCUCU